Salvia splendens (bonfire salvia) is the source of this 1319-nucleotide long non-coding RNA. RefSeq lists it as uncharacterized. The transcript has 2 exons. The record is from RefSeq and is a predicted model, not a curated record. NCBI's taxonomy places the organism in Eukaryota, Viridiplantae, Streptophyta, Magnoliopsida, Lamiales, Lamiaceae.
UUAAUUUUUCAAGCCCAAUUCUUUUUAUUUGAAACUACAUUUUGAAGCCCAAAUUUUGGAAAAGCCCAACAUAAGACCCUACACGAUAUGCUUUAGCUCAAAUCUCCCGUGAUUCCACGUUUUUCGUAAGUUCAACCAGUUCCACAUAAUCUGGGAAUAUACUGCAAUGAUCCACGAGAUUUUUUCUACGCAUACAAAUCUGCCCACGACUCCACGAUUCAUCAUAUUCAAUCAAUUCCAAGAGAAAUCGGGAGCUAAAAUUCAGAGAGAGAGACGAUAGAAGCGGACAGCAGCUGCGUGGACGGCGACGACUCCUGGCCAUCGCAACAGCCUCGCAACCGGCGGCCAGCAGCAGCGGAUGAAACUCCAAGAGGGCAGCGGCGGCGAACGAUUCGGAGAUGACACACAGAGCAUGAGGAGAGAGCGAAUAGCAGCAACAGCGGCGGCACCGACGCUCACCACAAGGAUGGCGACAACGGCGAGUCCGUUGACGGAUGCGACGGCGGAGAGCGACUCCAGCUGCGGCUGAUCGGGACCGCUUGGGGUAGAGCAGCAGUGGCGGCGACUCGGCAAUAACAGUGGCGGCGGCGCUGAAGCCGCUGUGAUUUGACGGAGGCGAUCGAAUUGAGGGGAUGUGCAGAGAGUGAACCGGAGAAGAGAGAGAGAUGAGAGUUGUGGUUGGAUGUGAGAAAGAGAUAGAUAGAGUUGAUGGAGAGGGGGAUGACCGAGAGGGGGAACACGAAGAGCAGAAUAUAAGGGAAAUUGCGAGUUGGGAAUUUAAAUGGGGUUUAUUGAUUUGGAGAGUUGAGAAGUGAGACAGAAGUCGCUGAUUUGGGGAUCCAAACUGAUUUUGAGUUGAUAAAGGUGAGAGGCAGAGAGAGAGAUCGGGAAGAGAGGGAGAGAAUGAACUUGCUGCUCAAAAUCAGGGGAUGAAGAUACUAAUGGGCUCGUUUUUUUUCUCUCUUUCCAAAGCUCGGGCUGUCCCAUUUAUAAACGAAAGAAAAGAGAAGCAUGACUCAAUGAAAGGAAAUUCUCCGCUGACAAAAUUGCAGUCGAAGUAUGGAAUUCAAAUUCAGAAAAAUUAACGAACGAGGUUGAGCGGUGACGAGCGCGGAAGGUGUUGAGCAUAAAAGUUGAAGAAUGUCUAUCAAAUGUCUAGAAUAUGUUGUGUCUUCAUACAUAGCAUUAUUCUACUCUCGAAAUGCUUCCGCUGAAUAUUAUUUCUUUCGCCAAAUAUUGUUGAGAUCAUAUUUGUUUUGAGUUGUUGAUUGUUGAGAUACUCUAAUUUUAUUCAAGCUAUUCCUGUUUGUUUCGAGCUA